RNAcentral lists this non-coding RNA (28 nucleotides) under Mus musculus (house mouse). Lineage: Eukaryota; Metazoa; Chordata; Mammalia; Rodentia; Muridae. The record is from RNAcentral.
UGGAAUAGAGGCACACUAUUUUAGGGAG